CAAAAAGGACGUGCUCUUGAAUCGCUGGAAAAAGGAAACCUCGUAAACUGCGGCAGUGAAUAUGAAGCCUCGAUUGAAACAUAUGCGCAGAGCCGCAGAGUAAUCCGACGUCGCUGGAAUCAUUACUCAUCAUGAACUUGAAUCGUCGAUUGAAACAGUUGUUUCAUUAAUCAAACAUCAAGACGUGAAUUCUUGGAACUCAGAGUCACAGGCUAGAUAUUUUGGCUUGGAAAUCGGUUUUGAGGUGUCGAUUUGGCUAGGUUGGAACUCAGACACUCAGUCUUGAUUUGAUGAUUCAAUAUUGUGGCUAGCUUGGAACUUGGCAGUGUGGGUACCCAAUGUGGAUUUGGAAUUUUGUUUUGGAAGUAAAUUCAGUUUUGGAACCCAAUGUGGAUAUUUAGUUUUGCCGAUUUGGAAUUCAGUUAUGCCGAUUUAGAAUUUUAGCUCAGAAACCCCAGUUUUGCGAAUUGUUACUGUGGUUGGCUUGGAACGUGGCGAUGUUGCAGUUGUACUCAGGUUAGAUAUUGUUAUUUGUUUUUUUUUUUUUUUUUGAGAAUUAGGGCUUGUUAUUCUUUAAUUAGUUGCUGAUUCAAGUUUUUGUUUAGGUAAUUAGGGCUUAUUUGGUGAUAUAAUUUUGCUAUUUAGGCCUUUAGGGCUUGUUUGUUUGCUUAUUUUGAUUUGUUGUUUAGGGAAUUAGGGCCCAUCUCUUAAAUAAAUUUAUAUCUAUCGAAAACAUAUAACAUU
Molecule: long non-coding RNA, 744 nt
Organism: Helianthus annuus (common sunflower)
Lineage: Eukaryota; Viridiplantae; Streptophyta; Magnoliopsida; Asterales; Asteraceae
Exons: 2
Source: RefSeq, a predicted model, not a curated record